GUUGCCCCAGUGUUUAGUGUUACCCCAGUGUUUAGUGUUGCCCCACAGUGUUUAGUGUUGCCCCACAGUGUUUAGUGUUGCCCCAGUGUUUAGUGUUGCCCCAGUGUUAGUGUUGCG
This is a long non-coding RNA of Perca fluviatilis (European perch), 117 nucleotides long. RefSeq lists it as uncharacterized. The transcript has 3 exons. NCBI's taxonomy places the organism in Eukaryota, Metazoa, Chordata, Actinopteri, Perciformes, Percidae. The record is from RefSeq and is a predicted model, not a curated record.